This 397-nucleotide ribosomal RNA is filed under the name uncultured bacterium. RNAcentral describes it as "bacterial SSU rRNA". It matches the Rfam family "Bacterial small subunit ribosomal RNA", at positions 28 to 412 of the family's 1533-position model. The record is from RNAcentral.
GACGAACGCUGGCGGCGUGCCUAACACAUGCAAGUGGAGCGACGAACCAGGGCUUGCCCUGGGGCGAAGCCGCGAACGGGUGAGUAACACGUGGGUAACCUGCCCCGAUGACUGGGAGUAACCCGACGGAAACUACGGGCGUAAUACCGGAUGUGCCCUACCGGCUCAAGCCGGCAUGGGAAAGGAAGCUUCGGCCUCCGCAUCGGGAGGGGCCCGGCGGCCCAUUAGCUUGUUGGUGAGGUAAAGGCUCACCAAGGCAACAAUGGGUAGCUGGUCUGAGAGGACGAUCAGCCACACUGGGACUGAGACACGGCCCAGACUCCUACGGGAGGGCAGCAGUGGGGAAUCUUGCGCAAUGCGCGAAAGACGUGACGCAGCAACGCCGCGUGGGGAAGAA